Molecule: long non-coding RNA, 4465 nt
Organism: Hemibagrus wyckioides
Lineage: Eukaryota; Metazoa; Chordata; Actinopteri; Siluriformes; Bagridae
Exons: 4
Source: RefSeq, a predicted model, not a curated record
ACAAACAGGCGGUUCAGAGAGUAAUAAAACACAUGGUUAUUAUUAUUUUAAGGAAAAAACUGUGGUUCACAUACUCAUAUUGAACCGUGGAGGCCGUACCGAACGGGGGGAAGUAACGAAAUGUCUUCAGUUUACUUUCACGAGUGACCAAGUGACCAUGGGGAAAGUAAAAAAAAGAGUAUACACUAUGGAAUAUCGGACGACACAGAAGCAAUAAAAGUUACCGCAGACGACAGUGUGUUACGGGAAAUAGGAACCGACAUGGAAGUUGGCAGAACAUAUCUGUUAAGGAACUAUGGCUUUGUACCAGCAAAGCAUAACAGCUCCGCACUAAUUUUCAUGAAACCCAACACAAUGGCGUUUAGAACAUCAAGCGUAAACGUGCCUGAGGAUGUCGCCACGAAAGCCACAGAAACCAUAAAUCCACCGUCAGCUGUGGUGUCACAGUAUGGUGAAAACUGUCUCAACAAAAUAAUAACUGUUCAAGGACAGGUUGUGUCGGUGGCAGUACUGCACCACCUACUUUCCGGGCCGCAAAUCAAUUACGAAGAAGAAGAAGACGGAAGCUGGGUUUAAUUUUUUCCCGCCGAAUUUCUGAAGUAAUAUAAACAUAGUUAUUAUCGACUAGGAGCCAAAAUAAGCAUGCCACAGAAAUCUUCAAAAAGAAGAAGAAUUCCCACAAACAAAAUGCAGGAGAUGUUCCAGAGUCUCCAUCUCCAACACAUCAUCACUCAGGACAUUUUGCCUUGUGCACUUUGAGGAUGGCUACAGAGCGAAAAUCUUUACACCAUGGGAUAUUUUGAAUGAAAAUGAUGCUCCCAUUCACCAUUUUGACGUUCUUAGACCAGGAGAAGUUGUUAUGGCACGAUGGUCAGAUGUCCCAUUGUUUUGUUUUCUGCCCAGCUACUCAUUUUAGUUCACUUAAGUAACUAAAUAUAUAUACAUACUUAUGUAAAGUAUACAUAAUUUGGGCAGUAAUAAUAAUUUGAGCAGUAUUGCACUUAAUAUUGUUGACAUUUUGUUUCAAUAUCAUUUAGUAUUUCAUUUGCCAGAUUUUGUUUGACUUUAUUACCCAAUAUACUUUUAUUUAGAACAUUUAAGUUUUUCAUUUAUUUAUCUAUUUAUUUAUUUUACAUAUGUAUAUCUGCAAAAUAAGUGUGUGUGUGUGUGUGUGUAAACAGAAAAGACAAAGUCAAUAUUGUAAUGAGAACGCUCAGUUCAGUCUCAUGAGACUAGAAUAACAUCUUUCUGAGGAACAGAAUCACUGUUCUCUGCCACUCAUCACUGCCACUAUUGGCCAUGUUAUUCAGCUGCUGUUGGCUUGUGUUCCUUAAGACUGGAAACAUAACAUUAUACUUCAGCAACGCAGGAAAUGUUUAGCAUUGAAAUCAUACAGCAUUAAGAGCCUCAGCUGACCUGCUUGCCAUGGAGUAGGUGUGUACAAACUGGCCACCUCUUCUGAGUCGUCAAUGUCCAGAGUCUCAUUAUAGGGCUGGUUAUCAAUAAGCUGAGGAUGAAAACGUCACACACACGUUAAAUUAAACAGCUGGCUCGAGAGCUAACUUAGUUUUGUGCAACGAAAAAAAUUCGUGGGUUGAGAAGAGCACAGGAGAGCCAAAGGUUUUUCUCCUUUAAGAUCAGCGAGCUGUUUUUGCUUCUGUUGUGAACAGUCUGCAGUCACUUGAGCCUCGAGUACCGCAUGUGUGCCGGAUGUCCAGUGUUUUUAUUUUCAUUUCUGUUUGCUUAUUUAAGUUGUGUUCUUUAAAUAAGUAACGCUGUGUCCAGUAGAAUACAGCUCGAGAUGUGAAGUGCUGUCUGAUUACUGCUGCAACUUGAAUUGGAGCGAUCCCAUACGUUAAUGCUAACUCAGCGCGUUACAUACACACAGAAAAGGACAACAUCUCUCACAGCAGCGUUUGGAUCAAGUAUAAAAAUAAGAAAGAACUUUAAUUAAAAAUCGUUUUUUACCUCAUAGUCCUCAGACUGGAUUUUCUUAUAGGUGCUGAACUUCAAGUUCCACCUCUUAGCUUGCAGCUUCUUGAAAAAGGGCAUUUCAGCUGUCGAGGUAAACUAUAAUCCUUUAUAGAAUCGUAUAUAGAAGUUAUAUUUAUAUAUUUAUAAAUACUUUCCGCAUUCAAAAACGAGGUCACUUGAUAAAACUUCGUGAUCUUCGUGUGGUCAAUGCAGGUGUUUGUUGCUCCGACGUUGCUAACGUUCUAAAUUCUCGUUCUGAUUCUGAUGACGUGGGCGUCGCUAGGCAUUUUGGGGUGCUUUAGCCCCCCCCCCCCAACAUUUCUAUUCAACUCCCAUAAGCCUCCAUAAACUCUACACAAAUUCCUGAUCGCCUCAGUCCCCUUUAAAUUUCAUAUGAAAACGGUGGCAGACUUCGGCUCUUCCCCGUCUUUCAGCGCGUUCUUCAAUCCGCAGACCGCGGCAAGGAUCAGAGGACGUGUGUACAGUAGAAUGCUGCAAUAAGUUUACCAUCCUACCCUGUUAGUAAAACGUUUAUUUUAUUUUAUUUUUUUACCCUCAUUGGGGUCUGAGCCCCCCCACCCCCAUGAAAAUCCUGCUGAUGACACCUUAAAUUCCGUGAAAUGACCAAAAAAAAAAAAAAGUCUACUCACUGAAGGCCAUAAGACCAUUUAUGGGCCUUUCAUGCACAUUAAAAUUUCACAAAAUAAACAUUAUGUAUCAGGGCUAAUUUGCCCUGGUUGAACAAGAGGAAUUAGUCACUGAGUCCAGACUUAUGUGAAUACACUAGUACAUACUGUCACUAGUUUAUCUUGAGGACUCCAAGCUGACAUGAUCCUCUCUGCAGCCAGAAAACAUACCCAAAGCAAAUGUUAGAUUGCUACAGUGUUUGAGCAUGUUGCCUACACAGAGAUAAACAGCCUUCUAGUUCUUCAAAAAGUGGUUCAAAGUUGUUCAACUUUGCUCCGAUGAACUACACAUUGAAGAUGGCACCCUUUAAUAUAGUUUUGCAGGCCACUUUCAUGAUUGAUGAAUGAAAGAGACACAUUUCAGCUGUAAGUCAUCAUAAGCAUUUAUUUUAUGUCUGUUGACUUGAAACCAAAAUACAGUUGUCUCCAAAGAAGAAUGAAAAAAAAUUAAAAAUGAAUUUUAAAAGUUCAGUUGCUCAACAUUUGGUAGCCAACUACCAGAUAUACCAGCCACUGAACUUUGAUCAGUGUUGUAGAAAGUAUGCUAAUUGUCUGUGUGAAUGGAGAUAUCUGUGUAUUUAUGUCGAAAGUCCACAGGGUGAAACAAAUGCUGAUGAUACUAAGUGCUCAAAUGCAUCUGUUUCUAGCUAUUAGCCUGAUGUUCAAUUAUAAAAGUGAUAUAUUUGUAAAUAUAUUUUGAGCACAAAGCUUACCUAACGUCACUAGUAUGAGCAUAUUGUGAAUAAGAUUCUCAGGAUCAGCUCAGUUUUUAUGAUUACAGCAGUAUGUUUUUUAUUUUUCAAUAUGUUUAUAUGUUCAUUGUCAUUUUUCUUCCACCACACCUCAUCAUACAGAAUCAUACCUCAUCAUACCUUGGAAACAACCACCCUGCACAUCUCCUACUGAUCACACUUGCAAGACUUGAAUGAAACAAAUCAACAACAAUAAAACAAGAUAAAAUAAAACAAAAUACAAUACAAUAAUAAUAAUGCUCAUGUAGGGUUCCCAGAGCUGAACAGAACUUUCUGCUUGCCCUUAGCAAUGUAAGUUAGUCUUUCCAACCCAAUACAGUUCGAUAUCUCCCUUAUCCACAUUCUCAAAGAUGGCAUCUUCAUACUCUUCCAGCACAAUGCAAUCACUAUACUCUACUGGCUUGGAGACAUCAGGAGUCUAGAAGUUUACUCGGUUUCAGUGUUUGUAUAAAGUCCAUUGAAUGUAUUCUAGGAACACAGAGUUUAACAUCCAAGGGGAUUUUAGUGUUAAAUGUAUCUGGCAGACAUUUUAUAAUUUCUUUCUAGAAAUUUUGAAUUUCUGGACAUUCCCAACAACAGUGAUACACUGUACCUUUCUAAUCCAAACAUUUAGCACACACAUCUGGAAUAUUAGCAGAGAUGAUGAAGUUUAACAGGAGUUCUGUACUUUCUUAUUAACCAUUUACAUUGAAGUAAUUAAAACCUCGUAUUUAUUGUCUGUGUUUUAGGCAACCAUUUAACCUCUCUAAUGUUGAUUCAGCACCAUAUUUAACCGUUGUGUUGUAAUAUCUAGUUGUAUUUCUGUUCCCUUCCAAGUCUUAUUUCUUUUAAUUUUGAUAAAGGUGGAAUACAUGUUAUAUGUUCAUAUUUUGAUGAUCUGUAAGAGUUUAAUUCAGGAGUCUCCAGUCUUUGACAAAAUGAAGGUGGCCAGGAGCUACUCGUGUUAUAUUAUUUGCACAUCAUACAUUAUUUGUGUGACGUUUUAAAAAAAUCUCAAUGUCAAACAGUCAUAUUUUGCAAUAAAUCAUUUUAUAAAUAAAUCAAAUUCACAUA